AUGUCUGCAACAACUAUGUAUCUCUGUUCCUGGAAUGUAAGAGGGCUGGGUGAUGUUGAAAAAUGCAAGGAUAUCCUCGCUGAACUUCUAUCAGUCAAGCCAAACGUACUACUUUUACAAGAAACCAAACUCGAAGCGCCCGCGGUCUCAAAAGUUCGUUCCUUCCUACCCUCCUCCCUCGACUACUUCUCCGUCCUGCCUACCAUUGGCACGGCUGGUGGACUGCUCUCGGCAGCAAACUCUAACACGAUCCAAGUGACCCAGUGCGUUAACUACUCCUUCUGCUCUACGCUUACAUGUCUUCUUCCCUCGCUCCCCUCCGCCUUCUACAUUACAAACGUCUAUGGCCCGACAAGCCGUUCCCAGAAGCAAGCCUUCCUCGAUGAACUUUUGGCCAUUGCCCCCAGCGAGAGCACCCCGUGGAUAAUCGUAGGCGAUUUUAAUCUAAUACGCUUCCCCCACGAAAAGAAUAACUUGAAUUUCCAUCAGCGUGAGGCUGACAUGUUUAAUGACGCCAUCAACGAGCUAGCUCUCCUCGAACUCCCCCUGCUGGACCGCCAAUUCACCUGGUCCAACAACAGGGAGGCGCCGGUCCUUGAACGCCUCGACAGAGCCUUCUUCAACCUUGCUUGGAAUACCACCUUCCCAAACACUUCCCUCUCCUCGCUAGCACGAAUCACUUCGGAUCAUGUCCCGCUAAUCAUCUCCAUUUCCACCACGGUACCCCGCUCCCGCCUCUUUCAUUUUGAACGAAGCUGGGCCUAUGCUCCGGCAUGCAAACGGCUAGUGGCCCAAGUCUGA
This 801-nucleotide ribosomal RNA is filed under the name Triticum aestivum (bread wheat). Its description in RNAcentral is "partial small subunit ribosomal RNA". Lineage: Eukaryota; Viridiplantae; Streptophyta; Magnoliopsida; Poales; Poaceae. The record is from RNAcentral.